CCUUGAGGACCCACCAGGUUACUCUGUCCUAUCAAACUCCGAAUACUGCGGCGCACGUACGGGAGUCAGACAGCGGGGGAUAAGCUCCGUUGUCAAGAGGGAAACAGCCCGGACCGCCGGACAAGGUCCCAAAGCGCAUGCUAGUGCUAAAGGAAGUGGGAGUGCGAAGACAGCCAGGAUGUUGGCUUAGAAGCAGCCAUCAUUUAAAAAGUGCGUAAUAGCUUACUGGUCGAGCAUUCCCGCGCCGACAAUGAUCGGGACUCAAGCAUGCCACCGAAGCCGCGGGAUGACGGGAACGCGAAAGCCGAACCGUCAUCGGUAGGGGAGCGUUCUGCAUGGGGUGAAGGUCGACCGCAAGGACGGCUGGACCGUGCAGAAGUGAGGAUCCGGCGAUGAGUAGCGAUAAGAAGAGUGAGAAUCUCUUUCGCCGAAAGCCUAAGGUUUCCUGUCCAAUGCAAGUCAGAGCAGGGUUAGCCGGCCCCUAAGGCGAGGCCGAAAGGCGUAGCCGAUGGGAAACGCGUCAACAUUCGCGUGCCGCUCGAAGGACGUUACGAGCCAAGGAGAGACGGGAUUCGGAUGGUCUACGGGCGAUCAGAAAUGCCCGAUGAGGCCCGAGGGGUAGUGGCAGGCAAAUCCACCACGACAUCCCCGGAGGUCGCACGAGCCCAAUUAUGUUGGCGAAGUGACUGUUGGGUCUCCGAGAAAAGCUUCGUGGCCAGUCCCAGGGCGACCGUACCAGAAACCGACACAGGCAGGCAAGGAGAGUAUCCUAAGGCGCUCGUGAGAACUCUCGUGAAGGAACUCGGCAAAAUUACCCCGUAACUUCGGGAUAAGGGGAGCCUCACUGGUUCAGGGUGAACAACCCAAAGGCCGGAGAGGCCGCAGAGAAUCGGCCCAAGUGACUGUUUAUCAAAAACACAGGUCUGCGCUAAGUCAGAUAGACGCCGUAUGCAGGCCGACGCGUGCUCGGUGCCGGAAGGUUAAGGUGAGGGGUCAUCCCUUCGGGGAGAAGCUCCGAGCCGAAGCCCCGGUUAACGGCGGCCGUAACUAUGACGGUCCUAAGGUAGCGAAAUUCCUUGUCGGGUAAGUUCCGACCCGCACGAAUCGCGUAACAACUUGGGCGCUGUCUCCACGAGGGACACGGCGAAAUUGUAUCGGCGGUGAAGAUGCCGCCUACCCGCAGCUAGACGGAAAGACCCCGUGAACCUUUACUGCAACCUAUUAUUGGCUCUUGAUCUGUAGUGCGUAGGAUAGGUGGGAGGCUUCGAAGCCCUGGUUCUGGCCAGGGCCGAGCCACCGGUGAAAUACCACCCUCGACAUAUUAGGAUUCUAACCGGCAGCCGUGAUCCGGCGUCGGGACAGUGAUAGGCGGGCAGUUUGGCUGGGGCGGCCUCCUCCAAAAGAGUAACGGAGGAGUCCAAAGGUUCCCUCAGUGCGGUUGGCAAUCGCACUCGGAGCG
This 1459-nucleotide ribosomal RNA is filed under the name metagenome. Its description in RNAcentral is "bacterial LSU rRNA". It matches the Rfam family "Bacterial large subunit ribosomal RNA", at positions 917 to 2351 of the family's 2925-position model. The record is from RNAcentral.